GACGAACGCUGGCGGCGUGCUUAACACAUGCAAGUCGAACGGAAAGGCCCUUCGGGGUACUCGAGUGGCGAACGGGUGAGUAACACGUGGGUGAUCUGCCCUGCACUUUGGGAUAAGCCUGGGAAACUGGGUCUAAUACCGAAUAGGACCACGCGCUUCAUGGUGUGUGGUUGAAAGCUUUUGCGGUGUGGGAUGGGCCCGCGGCCUAUCAGCUUGUUGGUGGGGUAAUGGCCUACCAAGGCGACGACGGGUAGCCGGCCUGAGAGGGUGACCGGCCACACUGGGACUGAGAUACGGCCCAGACUCCUACGGGAGGCAGCAGUGGGGAAUAUUGCACAAUGGGCGCAAGCCUGAUGCAGCGACGCCGCGUGAGGGAUGACGGCCUUCGGGUUGUAAACCUCUUUCACCAGGGACGAAGCGUAAGUGACGGUACCUGGAGAAGAAGCACCGGCCAACUACGUG
Molecule: ribosomal RNA, 462 nt
Filed under: uncultured bacterium
Lineage: Bacteria
Description: partial 16S ribosomal RNA
Rfam family: Bacterial small subunit ribosomal RNA
Source: RNAcentral